This 73-nucleotide transfer RNA is filed under the name Salmo salar (Atlantic salmon). It matches the Rfam family "tRNA". Rfam says of the family: Transfer RNA (tRNA) molecules are approximately 80 nucleotides in length. Their secondary structure includes four short double-helical elements and three loops (D, anti-codon, and T loops). Lineage: Eukaryota; Metazoa; Chordata; Actinopteri; Salmoniformes; Salmonidae. The record is from Rfam by way of RNAcentral.
UCUUGUGUGGCUCAUUUGGAAGAGCAUGGCACUUGCAGCACCAGGGUUGUGGGUUCAAUUCCCACUAGAGGAC